ACAAAGCGCCGGGUGAGUGUUCAUAUCUGCCAUUUUAAAAUAAUGUUAAUAAAUGUAAUUCUGUCCACUAUGGCAAAAUAGGAUUUUAUUUUAGAUUUAGUGGAAUCUUUAACCAAGUCUCUGAUUAAGACAUGUGUAUACGUGCACAGAUGGUGACAGAGAAACUUAUAUAUGACGUUAAUAAUCUUUUAAAUGUUUUUAAGAUGUAUUCACCCCAUUUUGGGGUUUUAUUUUUAAUUAAAGGCUUCUUAAAACAUGUGUGAAUAUGUGUAUAUUAUACAAAGAGUCUUAUAUUGUCUGCUCUGACAAAAAUAAAGUAUUUUUUUAGGUUUAGGGGAAUUGACUGCGUGUGUCUUAUAAAUACAACUUGAUAAUACGUUUGUUUUGUAAAGAGACUUCUUUAAAGUCACGCAAGAAUAAAAUAUUUUAGUUGUAACUGGUUAAACUUAAAGCCGAUAUUUUCUAUCGAACUAGUCUAUUUUCUGUUCAGACACAAAGUUUUCUGAUGCUGAUAUUAUGUCAGUGUGUGUUUGUGUGGGGGUCGUGUGAUGUAAUCUUUGAAAGUUUAUGACCGAACCUUUAUUGGGGAGCGACAAGAGAUCUCCCGAAAACAGUUUGGAUGGAGCAGAGCUGUUAUACUCAAGUCUAUUGGUAUGUAUGUGUUUCGCUGUGUUCGUUCCAGUAUUUUGUAUGAUUUAUUUAAAAACUAAAAAUUCGAUCUCUGGUAUUGCAGCGAAAUUGUCUAAACUGGUAUUAACUAUUCCUGGUAAAUCGCGGAGAAGAGUGGCCUGAACAAAAAAGUCAGACCGAGACUAGAACCACCCGCAGCGUAACACGGAAAUCUUGGAACAAAAGAGACGCCGACUGGCUCGUGUUGUCCGGUUUGGAUAUCAGAGGCAAAACGAACGUUGUGUGUACUAUUGCAAAAUAUAUAGCGGAUCUCCACGGUUAGGAUACAGACCACAACGCUUUGGACGUAUCUUUAAAAAAGAGAAAAAUCGGAGACUUUUUGGAUUUGUCUGGGACAUUUUAAACAUUUUGUGGCAAAUUGGAUUUAAAACGUUUCGGAUACUGGAUACAUGUGUCGGAUUUGUCCACAGUGCUUGUUUAAGACGUCUUCACCUCAUUUUAGGGUUUAUUUUUAAUUAAAGGCUUCUUAAAACAUGUGUGAAAAUGUGUAUAUUAUACAAAGAGUCUUAUAUUGUCUGCUCUGACAAAAAAAUAAAUUAUUAUUUUAGAUUUUAGGACAAAUGUCUGCGUGUAUCUUAUAAAUACAACUUGAUAAUACGUUUGUUUUGUCAAGAGACUUUUUUAAAGUCACGCAAGAAUAAAAUAUUUUAGUUGUAACUGGUUAUACUUAAAUCUGUUAUUAUCUAUUUAACUAUAAGCUAUAAUUUUCUGAUAAGCCUUAAACAGAAGCUGCGCUGUGAGCGUCUGGGUGUUUGAGAUAAUUCACAUUAGGGGGCUGCUUGUAAACUAGUGUCUUUUAAAACCGCCGUGGUAAUAUGUAAUAUGGUAACUCUGUCAAAAAGUAAAAGGUUUAUUUUAGAUCACACCCUAUUUUAUGGCAAACAAUGCAGUAUCUAAAAGUUUGUAACAACACAAUUUUAUUUAAUGAAAUAUUCAGCAUGGGUAUAGCAAUGAACUGUGCCAAAACCACCGGGGGCCGCCAAUAACACAGUCUUUAGGUUAAGGCUUUUUAUUUUUAACUAAAUAAAAUCUUAAUCUUUUCAUGCACAAUAUUCUGUUCACACCAUUAGAUUGCGGUCCUGCGCUUGCAAUAGAGAACAUAAGCGGAUGCGUGUUCAUAUCCAUACGUUAAGAAAUCGUCCAUAUGUCAAUUCAUCUUCUGGGGUUUGUUUUAAAAAAAAAAAUGACACAUUAAAAUCAACUGUGAAUAUGUGUUUAUUACACAAUAAAAUGUAAUUCUGUUCGCACCGGUAUAAUAGGGGUUUUAUUUUAGAUUUGGGACUUUCUUUAACCAAGUCUCUGAUUAAAACAUGUGAAUGCGUGUACCAAAGUUGUCAGAAAACGUAUGCUGAUGCGCUCUUAUAUAUGGUGUUAAGAGCCUUUUAAACGUUUUAAGACAUUUCACACCCUCUUCUGGGUUGAAUUCAUUAAUGUCAUCUAACAUCCACAAGUGUAGGCUAUUUAUAAAUG
Long non-coding RNA from Paramisgurnus dabryanus, 2160 nucleotides. RefSeq lists it as uncharacterized. Lineage: Eukaryota; Metazoa; Chordata; Actinopteri; Cypriniformes; Cobitidae. The record is from RefSeq and is a predicted model, not a curated record.